RNAcentral lists this unclassified non-coding RNA (402 nucleotides) under soil metagenome. Its description in RNAcentral is "partial contains 5.8S ribosomal RNA, internal transcribed spacer 2, and large subunit ribosomal RNA". The stretch from base 1 to 121 matches the Rfam family "5.8S ribosomal RNA", at positions 35 to 154 of the family's 154-position model. The record is from RNAcentral.
GAUGAAGAACGUAGCGAAAUGCGAUAAGUAAUGUGAAUUGCAGAAUUCAGUGAAUCAUCGAAUCUUUGAACGCACCUUGCGCCCUUUGGCUAUUCCGAAGGGCAUGCCUGUUUGAGUAUCAUGAACACCUCAACUCUUCACGGCUUGCCGUGAUGAGUUUGGACUUUGGGGGUCUUGCUGGCCUACGAGCCAGCUCCUCUCAAAUGUAUUAGCUUGCCGGUGUUUGGUGGCAUCACAGGUGUGAUAACUAUCUACGCUUGUGGUUUUCCACUAGGUAACCUUCAGCAAUGGAGGUUCACCGGAGCUCACAAAUGUCUCUCCUUGCCAAGGACAGAUUUUGACCAUUUGAUCUCAAAUCAGGUAGGACUACCCGCUGAACUUAAGCAUAUCAAAAGCGGAGGA